UACGAAGGGGGGCAAGCGUUGUUCGGAAUUACUGGGCGUAAAGGGCGCGUAGGCGGCUUAUCAAGUCAGGCGUGAAAUUCCCGGGCUCAACCUGGGGGCUGCGCUUGAUACUGAUGAGCUUGAAUGCGGGAGAGGAUAGUGGAAUUCCCAGUGUAGAGGUGAAAUUCGUAGAUAUUGGGAAGAACAUCGGUGGCGAAGGCGCUCUGCUGGACCAUAACUGACACUCAGGGACGAAAGCUAGGGGAGCGAAUGGG
RNAcentral lists this ribosomal RNA (254 nucleotides) under uncultured bacterium. RNAcentral describes it as "partial 16S ribosomal RNA". It matches the Rfam family "Bacterial small subunit ribosomal RNA", at positions 524 to 776 of the family's 1533-position model. The record is from RNAcentral.